Molecule: ribosomal RNA, 497 nt
Filed under: uncultured bacterium
Lineage: Bacteria
Description: partial 16S ribosomal RNA
Rfam family: Bacterial small subunit ribosomal RNA
Source: RNAcentral
GAUGAACGCUGACGGCGUGCCUAAUACAUGCAAGUCGAGCGAACGGACGAGAAGCUUGCUUCUCUGAUGUUAGCGGCGGACGGGUGAGUAACACGUGGAUAACCUACCUAUAAGACUGGGAUAACUUCGGGAAACCGGAGCUAAUACCGGAUAAUAUUUUGAACCGCAUGGUUCAAAAGUGAAAGACGGUCUUGCUGUCACUUAUAGAUGGAUCCGCGCUGCAUUAGCUAGUUGGUAAGGUAACGGCUUACCAAGGCAACGAUGCAUAGCCGACCUGAGAGGGUGAUCGGCCACACUGGAACUGAGACACGGUCCAGACUCCUACGGGAGGCAGCAGUAGGGAAUCUUCCGCAAUGGGCGAAAGCCUGACGGAGCAACGCCGCGUGAGUGAUGAAGGUCUUCGGAUCGUAAAACUCUGUUAUUAGGGAAGAACAAAUGUGUAAGUAACUGUGCACGUCUUGACGGUACCUAAUCAGAAAGCCACGGCUAACUACGUG